RNAcentral lists this ribosomal RNA (225 nucleotides) under uncultured Tricholoma. RNAcentral describes it as "partial 28S ribosomal RNA". It matches the Rfam family "Eukaryotic large subunit ribosomal RNA", at positions 1 to 222 of the family's 3401-position model. Lineage: Eukaryota; Fungi; Basidiomycota; Agaricomycetes; Agaricales; Tricholomataceae. The record is from RNAcentral.
UUGACCUCAAAUCAGGUAGGACUACCCGCUGAACUUAAGCAUAUCAAUAAGCGGAGGAAAAGAAACUAACAAGGAUUCCCCUAGUAACUGCGAGUGAAGCGGGAAAAGCUCAAAUUUAAAAUCUGAGGGUCUUACGGCCUUCCGAGUUGUAAUCUAGAGAAGUGCUAUCCGCGCUGGACCGUGUACAAGUCUCCUGGAACGCCAAGCUUUUGUGAUGCGCUCUCA